RNA transcript from Populus trichocarpa (black cottonwood), 1466 nucleotides. It is a transcript of the gene named PRA1 family protein F2, with no coding region annotated. The transcript has 3 exons. NCBI's taxonomy places the organism in Eukaryota, Viridiplantae, Streptophyta, Magnoliopsida, Malpighiales, Salicaceae. The record is from RefSeq and is a predicted model, not a curated record.
UAAAAUGCCUAACACGGCGUCGUCUUCACAAGCCUCUGCCCUCUGCGCUCUUCCCCGACAAAUAUCUAGCCCUUAAAAAAGGAAAUGCCUUCUUUAUAGAGAUCCACAAAACCGCCACUCCCUCUGUAACAACGAACCGAUCUCUCCUCUCUCGUCUUUCUCAAUGAAUUCUCCAUCUCCAGCUUCGUACGGUUCCUUCCCACCCACCGAACCCUCGUCCACCUUCCUCACACGCGCCACCAAUACGACAUCCACCAUCUUCGCCACCCGCCGCCCAUGGCGCGAAUUAAUUGAAUUCUCCUCCUUCGCGCGCCCAGGCUCCCUCGGCGAUACCACAAUCCGCAUAAAACGGAACCUCUCCUACUUUCGCGUUAAUUACACAAUGAUAAUCCUCUCUAUCCUCUUCUUAAGCCUCUUAUGGCACCCUCUCUCAAUGAUUGUCUUCUUGAUCGUCUUCGUCGCCUGGUUUUUCCUUUACUUCUUUCGUGACCAGCCAUUGGUGAUUUUCCACCGCACGAUUGAUGAUCGUGUGGUGCUUGGUUUGCUCGGUGUCGCUACUAUUGUUGCUUUGAUUUUCACACACGUGUGGUUAAAUGUCUUGGUUUCGCUUUUGAUUGGAGCUGCUAUUGUUGUCUUGCACGCUGCGUUUAGAAGAACUGAUGAUAUGUAUUCGGAUGACCAAGAUGUGGCUGAUGGAAGUUUGCUGUCUUUUGUGGGGAGUCCUACGAGAGCGGGCCACGCUCGCUUUUAAAACUCUCAUGUUGUAAGAGUGCGCCGAUGAGUUACCAGCCCAUUGGUGUAAAUAGAUUGGUGCUAUUGCCUGUGUUGUUUCUUUUGAUGUGAACUUGGUUACAGUACACAAACAUCCGGAUAUAGCAGGGUUCAAGGUUGGUGUUCCAGUGGAAGUCUGGGAUCUGAACUUAGAAAUGCAAGCGAAGCAUGCUACUAGUCUUCUUUUUUUGUGUAAAAUUUUUUGAAAGAGAUGAUCCGGAUGGUCGCCCAUAAGUUUCGAAGUACGAAGCUUUCUUUAUACGCAAUAACGUUGAGUAUCUUGGAUUGUAAUGAAAAUAUUGCGGAAAAAUUUUCAUUUAAAGGUGGAUCUAUUGCAUUGGCUCCAUUUGAGGAACUUGCAAGUGAAGAAUUGACAAAGGAAAGUUAGCAAUAUUGCUGUCACUGGCCAUGCAAAGUUAGUGGCUUUCCCGUUGUCACAAUCCAUGUUUUGGUGACUUUAAAAGCUUCUUUCACCAUGGGUCUUCCUUUCCCCGCUAGUUUUUUGGCAGAGUUCUUGGUUCCUAGCUUGUUUUGUGCCUGAUUGGAGGAGUGGUUCCGGAAGUGAUCUCUUUUUCUUACUGGGUCUAUGGAACGUGUAAGAUUAUUUUCUUUGGCAAAUAAUGAUGAUUCAGUGGCGAUCUCUUUAAGUACACUAUAACCAUAAUAUCUGCUUAUGCUUAUGGUCUUUUCACGAA